UUUUUAAUUGAAGAUCAAAACAAUCCAAAUUACGGGGACCUUCCUCACCUGAGAAGUACAGAGUUUGGUAAGUAGAUCUUUCUGAAAAUUCUCUUAGUAACACCCCCAGCUUCAGCCUGGCGACGCAGCACUGAUAUGUUCCUCUUUUCUCCUAGGAAUGAGAAUUCAAGUAUGAGCAAGAAGCAUCCAGAGGAGCCUGUGGAAGUAGCUACCUGGAGCAGCUCUCUCUGUUUUCCACCUGCAGCCUCAUGUGCCUUGUCUCCRAAUAGCUGGGCUUUCUCCUGGCACUGAGUACUCUGCAUGUUGUUAAACAUUUUCCCAUCUGGUUUUGGCUCCACAAUGGAUUUCUCCCCACCCCUGAAAGUGAUGAAUAGUAUUGAAGAAAAAUGACCCAGCUGAAGCAGAGUACARUAUGAAGAGUCUUCCACAUGUGCCCCUGGUUGACAAAAGCCAUCUCCCCAGCUGUCCCAGUGUACAAUGGACUCGUUUUCUUGUUUGUGCUGGCAAACUUCAGCAUGGCAACUUUCAUGGACCCUGGAGUUUUCCCACGAGCAGACGAAGAUGAAGACAAAGACGACGACUUCCGAGCGCCGCUGUACAAGAACGUGGAGAUCAAAGGAAUCCAAGUACGGAUGAAGUGGUGCGCCACCUGCCACUUCUACCGCCCRCCCCGCUGCUCCCACUGCAGCGUCUGUGACAACUGUGUGGAGGAUUUUGACCAUCACUGCCCAUGGGUCAACAAUUGCAUAGGACGGAGGAACUACCGCUAUUUUUUUCUCUUCUUGCUGUCCUUAAGUACGCACAUGAUUGGAGUGUUCGCCUUUGGGCUCAUCUUCGUACUAAACCAUAUGGAAAGGCUGGGAGCAGCUCACACUACCAUUACAAUGGCUGUCAUGUGUGUGGCUGGGUUAUUCUUUAUUCCAGUCAUUGGUCUCACUGGCUUCCAUAUUGUUUUAGUGGCCCGAGGGCGCACAACGAAUGAACAGGUGACAGGGAAAUUCCGUGGGGGAGUGAAUCCUUUUACCCGAGGAUGCUGUGGAAACGUGGAACAUGUGCUCUGCAGCCCCUUGGCUCCCAGGUACGUGGUGGAGCCCAAGAAGAAGCAAGCUGUGAGUGUGAAGCCUCCUUUCCUGAGACCUGAUUUGUCUGAGCGCCAGAUCACAGUGAAGAUCAGUGACAACGGCAUCCAAGCCAACCUCAACCGGAGCAAGUCUAAAAUUAGCCUGGAAGGUCUGGAGGAGAAAAGCAUGGAUGUGCAACCAUCCCUCCCACCCAAAGGAGAUCCAAGCAAGUACUCUGAGCUAAAAGGGCAGCUGGGCACCAGUGAAGAAGGUGGCCUCUCACCCAAACUUAUCAGCCCUCCUACUCCUGCCAUGUACAAGUACCGGCCAGCUUUCAGCAACAAUCCCAAAGUCCACUACCACGCCACGGCCGAGCAGAUCACCUUGCAGGAGGGACACAGCCAAGGGGCUUUGAUAGAAGAGGAUGGCAGGAGCCUUGAUUACCAAUCCGAACCCAGCCUGGACAUCCCCAGCUACCGGAAGAGCUCCCUCCACAAGACCUAUCAGUCUUCCCCACUCCAGAUAGAUUCCUUUGCCAUCAAUUCACGAUCCCUGAGCCUGAAAUCUGCUGGCAGGAGAGGGACUGACAAAGUGCCCCUUCAUCCAAUAAARUCUGAAGGGGCGGCUUCCACCCCUUACAAAAGCAUCUUUUCUCCCAAUUCCCUGUCAAACAGAAAUGGGAGUCUUUCGUAUGACAGUUUGCUGAACCCCAUGUCUCCCUCGGGGAGGAAGUGCAUUGCCCAUUCUGCWGUCAGCUCUGUCGGGUACCACUCCCCAUAUUUGUCAGCCAAAAUGUGCCACCUCCGGGGCAGCGAGCUGCAGCGCCAGCCCCCGCAGAGCUUCAGCCCCGUGCUGGGGGGCCCGGCCCCGCACCAGCGAGACCCCUCCCCGGUCCGCUAUGAUAACCUUUCCAAGACAAUUAUGGCAUCCAUCCAGGAAAGGAAAGAGAUGGAAGAGAGGGAGAAGCUCCUGCACUCGCACCCUGAUUCGGUGUUUGCAGACUCGGGUGUCUAUGACACCCCCAGCUCCUACAGCCUUCAGCAAGUGAGCACGCUCUCGGAUGACCCGCGCAGCAUGGCCAUGAGAUAYGGAUCCAGGGACAAUCUGAUGGCUGCCAGCAGCUUUAGCACAAGGAACCCUCUACUGCAGUCCUCAGUGUCUUCACUCUCAAGUGCAAUGACGAGAGCACCAAGGACUUCCACAACAUCCCUGCAAGCUGAUUUAGCCAAUAAUAAUGUGCAGUCGCAUCAAGCACUACAGGGCAGGGUGAGCAAUGGCUCCUACAAAUCCCCAGGUCACCAGGUCCCAUCGUCCCCCACAGGGAUGCCUAGGUCACCUUCUUACGGAGGCCCRAAGGCUGUGUCCUUUGUAAACACUGUGGAAAUUACAGAGGUGCAAUCAGUGGGAGCACAGAGGGAUGACAUGCAGUUGAAGACACCWCACAGUAAAAUAAAUGGACAGCCAAAAGGAAUAGCCAGGUUGGGCUCAACAUCAAGUUCCCAGGGGACGCCUGUCAGCCCUGCUAGACACUCAAAUGUUAAGAAGGUGUCUGGAGUUGGUGGAACAACCUAUGAAAUUUCAGUGUAAAAUCRAAUGAAUUAAAAACAAAGAGCCAUCCACUCAGCCAGCCAUGAAGCUAGGAGCACUGUGAAGACUCAAAUAACAACAAAGAAGGAGCAGCAGCAGUCGGCCACUCUCCUUUUCUUGUUUUGGGUUUGUUAUGUUUUCAUCUUUCUCUUUUGGCCAAAAACCAGCUGCAGCCUUAUUCUUGAGGGAAUAAUAAAAUUGUACAGUCUAUCAGACUCUUCCUGAACCGACAGGCGGGAACUGGCUACGACCUAAGACCACCACAGAGCGGAUUUCCUUCCUGCAAGAGAGCGCUAAAGCCAUUGUGCGCGUGUCUGUCCAACCAAUCUGUCAUGUACCACUUGUGCUGUGAAAAGUACAGUCAGUCCAGGAUCAGUCAGUUUUUCCCAUGCCCCCUCCCAGUUCUGGCCAGCAGUGUGUGCAGCAGGAGCCAGAGGACCAACUGCUGUUUUCCUGCUGACUUGGAAAGCAGGGUUCCUGCGCUGGGCAGGAGCUGCUCCAUGUCCCCCGGGCACUGCAGCUCAGGUUCCUCCUCCUGGGGUGGAACACAGCAAGGCCACUCGGGCUGCAGACACCACAACAGCUUUAAAAGCCUCCCUGAUCCUGGAUGGGACAGGAGAAAGGAGAGCAACAGCUUCUGCCUGUCUGCCAUUGGCCUCCCCCGUGUGUGAAGUUGUGUGUGUGUGUGUUUGUCUCCACGGAAAAGGACCGCAACACCAGGGAGGAUCUGCCACUCUGACCUCCUGCUCCCUCGGGGUGUUAAAGGCUUCUCUGACUCGGAAACAAAACCAAGCAGAUCAGAAAGGAAAUGUUCUGAUGGAAAUAUAUUUUAAACAGCCGUCAGCUGCUUUCCCUGCACCCUCCUUACCUGUUGGAUUUCGGCAAUAACAGAGUUUACUGCCUUGCCCUGGUGCCGUCAGUGUAAUCCCGCAGCAAGGUUAUCACGAGCUGUCCAAUUUACAGUGUGUGUAACUGAGCCAAGCGUACAUCUAAAGGAUAUAAAUUUUCUGUCUGCCUAAUUACUAGCACAUUCCCUCUGGUCUUCARUACUGUUAGACAAAGGAUUUUCAAUUUGGGUUUUUGCCCCCUGGGGAACAACUUUUUAAAAUAAUAUCAAUCAGAUCUAUUUAACAUUCUGAGGUUUCUUUCUCCUGUCUCCAGAAAACUACAUUUACUUUUUGGAUUUAAAGACAACUUUACUGUAUAAACCAAGAAAGGGGUGCAUUACUCUUGUCAAAAAUAUGAGGACUCUGGCAAAACUAAUUUGGGACAAAUGGAUUUUUAUUUCUCUGUUCCUUAUCUCCUUUUCCUUCCCAUUCAGUUACCACCUCAGAAGUCAGAAGUACUGAGAUCUGGACCAAUGCUAACUAGCCAGAUCAUUAAGAUUGAAUUGUGCAAUUAAGAAUAUCCUGAGCAACUGUUGCCAAAGUCACUAAAAAUUAUUAUUUAUCACUGAGCCAGUCAGCAUACAAGACCUCGACUUCCCACCUGGUUCUCUUGAUGAAUAGUUUUGACUAGAGAUCUAAAUCGAUCAUUUUUCAGGAUAUUUGUUUCAAGGGGUUAAAUCCUUUUCAGUCCUUGACUAUAAUGGAAAGCUCUCCAGGUUUGCAUUUAAUUCAGUGCACAUAGCCUGGAGUAAAUGAUUCAAAUUUUCUGAAAGAGUAAUCUAAGCAGAACUGUUAACAGGAGAUUGCAUGCAGCAAAUCCAGCCUCAUUUCCAUCCAAGGCACUGAACCUGCAGCUAUUUUCUCAUAAAUGUAAGUGUCUGUUUCCAUAGUUCCUGUUGUGGGACUGGGGACCUAUUUAUUAAAUCUAAUUUUUGAGCAGAAUCCAGCCCAUGUUACAGUAUAGUUCUUUAAGCAGUUUACAGAUCAGCAGUAAGGUUCUUCUGCCCAGAUACCCUGUUUUUACAGACACUGCAGGCCAGAUCUUCAGCURGUAUAAUUUGGUGUGGCUCCAUGAAAGCUCAUUUAAUUGAUGCUAAUUUAUAGUAGGUGGGGAUCAACCAUGAAAAUCCAGCACGAGUUAACACAUCCUGUAAAGUAGCUUCUUUAUUUUUGUCAUGCUUAUUUCAUGUUUCAGAAGUCUUAAAUAUUUUCAACAUGUUUUUAUUUGUAGCUGUGGAUUGUAUUACUUAUUUAAAAAAGAGCAAUAGGUUUUUUUUAGUUUGUGCAUCAGUUUUCAUUGCAUAUUGCAUUUUAUUAGUCAUUUGUUCCCUGUUCAUACGCUCCCAUUUAGCCUCCAGGUUUUCAUUGUAGUAUUUUUCUGCCUUGAAAAGUUGGAUCUCUGUAUCUUUAAUUGUAUAAUAUAUUGAAUAUUAUGGAAUUAAAUGUACUUUACUACAUGGGUGGGAGAGAAAGGAAAUAUUUUUACUUGAAGCCUUAAUAUUUUCUUUUUUUACUACUUUGUUUGUUGACCUCAUAGGAAAGUCUGAAUAGCAAAGACUUUGAAACUCUGGGCCAAAUACUGCACUGACAGACAACCAGCAUUUGGCCCCCAUGUCAAAACUGGAUGCAGACAUAACCUGAAGUGAAGAAGGGAAARAGCCUCAGGGUGGCAUAUUUUCCUGAAGAUCAUUAAUACAGUCUCAAAGCAUGUCUGUAAGCAAGUACAUUUAAGAARUCUUCAAGUCUUGAAUUUUUAAGGAAGGUGAUAGCAAGAACUUCCCUAAUAUCUUACAUCUGCUUUUUUUUUUUUAAUCUCCUUUUUUUUUUUUUUUAAAUUAAGCAAAACAAAUGUAUUUACUCAGUUUGGUUCAGCCAGCUCGGGGGGUUGCACUGAGCUCUGUGUUGGUAGCCAUGUGCAGCACAUGAGCUGUGGGGUGUUGCUGUUCUCAUUCUAACCAAGCGUGAUGUUGUGUCAACUCAGCCCGAGAGGAUCCCUCCCGGGCCCUACAAUGGACGUUCCUCAGAUGAUGCCUACUCUCCUACAAGCCUAAUAUGGAAAUUGCAAUGUGGUUUUCUUUGGACUCUAUCUGUGGUCCAGACUAGAGAUAUAUAGAGAGAUAUAUAUAUAGUCAAUAUUUUUUUGUGUGUGUGGGAAAGAUGGGGUCAAGCUUUUCUGUCUCUGACAGUCUGGAAAGUUAAUGUCGAACCGUUUUUAUGGUCUGUAUUUCACCUGUUCUGCCACCUUGAAUUGUUGGAAUGUAUCCGUGCAGGCUUUGUGGAGCUCUGUCUGUAACCUUUUUUGUGGCUCUCGUAAUACAUAUAUAUUUUUUAAACCUUUGAGUCACUUCAGUAUUUUCAAGUGUCUGUUUCUGCCUCAGAUGCAUUCAUUUGCUGCGAUGGUUCGGGGUGCGCUGCCCUUUCUCACUUCCGCUUGUGCAAAGAAACCUGACCUGGAAGAGCAGAAUGGAAAGGCCACUUCCAGUGCAAAGGACAAAAGUGACAAAAUAUUAGAAGAAGUGACAGCAGGUUAAAUCUUAUUUUCAAGAUGCUUAUGGUAGAGUAGGAAAUAUGGUGAGUCUUUAAAAGAGUGUCUCCUAGUUGUGACCAAU
RNA transcript from Malurus melanocephalus (red-backed fairy wren), 6144 nucleotides. It is a transcript of the gene named zinc finger DHHC-type palmitoyltransferase 8, with no coding region annotated. NCBI's taxonomy places the organism in Eukaryota, Metazoa, Chordata, Aves, Passeriformes, Maluridae. The transcript has 13 exons. The record is from RefSeq and is a predicted model, not a curated record.